UACGUAGGUGGCAAGCGUUGUCCGGAAUUAUUGGGCGUAAAGCGCGCGCAGGCGGUCCUUUAAGUCUGAUGUGAAAGCCCACGGCUCAACCGUGGAGGGUCAUUGGAAACUGGGGGACUUGAGUGCAGGAGAGAAGAGUGGAAUUCCAGGUGUAGCGGUGAAAUGCGUAGAUAUCUGGAGGAACACCGGUGGCGAAGGCGGCAUCCUGGACCAACACUGACGCUGAGGAGCGAAAGCCAGGGGAGCAAACGGG
Molecule: ribosomal RNA, 253 nt
Filed under: uncultured bacterium
Lineage: Bacteria
Description: partial 16S ribosomal RNA
Rfam family: Bacterial small subunit ribosomal RNA
Source: RNAcentral